This 475-nucleotide ribosomal RNA is filed under the name uncultured bacterium. RNAcentral describes it as "partial 16S ribosomal RNA". It matches the Rfam family "Bacterial small subunit ribosomal RNA", at positions 28 to 523 of the family's 1533-position model. The record is from RNAcentral.
GAUGAACGCUGGCGGCGUGCUUAACACAUGCAAGUCGAGCGAGUGAGUUCUUCGGAACGAUCUAGCGGCGGACGGGUGAGUAACACGUGGGCAACCUGCCUCAUAGAGGGGAAUAGCCUCCCGAAAGGGAGAUUAAUACCGCAUAAAUUAUCGAGUGGCAUCACAUGAUAAUCAAAGGAGUAAUUCGCUAUGAGAUGGGCCCGCGGCGCAUUAGCUAGUUGGUGAGGUAACGGCUCACCAAGGCGACGAUGCGUAGCCGACCUGAGAGGGUGAUCGGCCACAUUGGGACUGAGACACGGCCCAGACUCCUACGGGAGGCAGCAGUGGGGAAUAUUGCACAAUGGGGGAAACCCUGAUGCAGCAACGCCGCGUGAGUGAUGAAGGUCUUCGGAUUGUAAAGCUCUGUCUUUGGGGACGAUAAUGACGGUACCCAAGGAGGAAGCUACGGCUAACUACGUGCCAGCCGCCGCCGUAA